AGUGAACGCUGGCGGUAGGCCUAACACAUGCAAGUCGAACGGCAGCACAGUAAGAGCUUGCUCUUACGGGUGGCGAGUGGCGGACGGGUGAGGAAUACAUCGGAAUCUACUUUUUCGUGGGGGAUAACGUAGGGAAACUUACGCUAAUACCGCAUACGACCUACGGGUGAAAGCAGGGGAUCUUCGGACCUUGCGCGAUUGAAUGAGCCGAUGUCGGAUUAGCUAGUUGGCGGGGUAAAGGCCCACCAAGGCGACGAUCCGUAGCUGGUCUGAGAGGAUGAUCAGCCACACUGGAACUGAGACACGGUCCAGACUCCUACGGGAGGCAGCAGUAGGGAAUAUUGGACAAUGGGCGUAAGCCUGAUCCAGCCAUACCGCGUGGGUGAAGAAGGCCUUCGGGUUGUAAAGCCCUUUUGUUGGGAAAGAAAAGCAGCAGGUUAAUACCCCGCUGUUCUGACGGUACCCAAAGAAUAAGCACCGGCUAACUUCGUG
Molecule: ribosomal RNA, 492 nt
Filed under: uncultured bacterium
Lineage: Bacteria
Description: partial 16S ribosomal RNA
Rfam family: Bacterial small subunit ribosomal RNA
Source: RNAcentral